Molecule: ribosomal RNA, 387 nt
Filed under: uncultured bacterium
Lineage: Bacteria
Description: bacterial SSU rRNA
Rfam family: Bacterial small subunit ribosomal RNA
Source: RNAcentral
AUUGAACGCUGGCGGCAUGCCUUACACAUGCAAGUCGAACGGCAGCGGGCCUUCGGGUGCCGGCGAGUGGCGAACGGGUGAGUAAUGCAUCGGAACGUGCCAUUGAGUGGGGGAUAACGUAGCGAAAGUUACGCUAAUACCGCAUAUUCUGUGAGCAGGAAAGCAGGGGACCGCAAGGCCUUGCGCUCUUUGAGCGGCCGAUGUCAGAUUAGCUAGUUGGUGAGGUAAAGGCUUACCAAGGCGACGAUCUGUAGCGGGUCUGAGAGGAUGAUCCGCCACACUGGAACUGAGACACGGUCCAGACUCCUACGGGAGGCAGCAGUGGGGAAUUUUGGACAAUGGGCGCAAGCCUGAUCCAGCCAUGCCGCGUGAGUGAAGAAGGCCUUC